Molecule: long non-coding RNA, 432 nt
Organism: Salvelinus namaycush (lake trout)
Lineage: Eukaryota; Metazoa; Chordata; Actinopteri; Salmoniformes; Salmonidae
Exons: 5
Source: RefSeq, a predicted model, not a curated record
AGGAGGUUCAUCUACCUGAGGACAAAGACAGAUCUAUUGUCUGGGAUCCAACUCUGCACAGAUGGGUUAACAAAACUGAGCCCAAGGCUGAGAACAAGUGUGUACCACCACCUCCACCGAUGGGGACAUAUGGAUAUCAGGGGAACACUGGCAGUGUCCCCAAAGGAGUGAAUCCUUACUCUAUGAAAGCAGCAGGUCUAUGGGGCAGCAGAUACCCUACAAUGAAUUACAAUGAUAGGACCAACUCAAAGCCUCCAAGCCAUGGGCCUGGACUGCUUCCUAGACAGCUCUCUGGCUUGCUCCCUCCUUCACACUUUGACCUCAUGGCACCAAUGGUUGUGCCACCUGACACUCUACCCUACUGAGGCCAUUUGCCCAGAGUGGAUUUGCCAUACAUAGAUUUUUUCAGCAUUAAAAAACUUCAGCAUUAAA